Molecule: ribosomal RNA, 265 nt
Filed under: uncultured bacterium
Lineage: Bacteria
Description: partial 16S ribosomal RNA
Rfam family: Bacterial small subunit ribosomal RNA
Source: RNAcentral
CGUUUAGUGGCGAACGGGUGAGUAAUACAUAGGUAACCUACCCUUAAGACGAGUAUAGCCAUUGGAAACGAUGGAUAAAACUGGAUAGGAUAUAGAGGAAGAAUCUUUUAUAUUUAAAAGAGAGAUCUGCUUAAGGAGGGGCCUGUGGCGCAUUAGCUAGUUGGUGGGGUAAGGGCCUACCAAGGCGAUGAUGCGUAGCCGGACUGAGAGGUUGAACGGCCACAGUGGAACUGAGAACGGUCCAUACUCCUACGGAAGGCAGCAG